CAUGCAGUCGAACGCGACCCCUUCCAGCUUGCUGGGAGUGUGGUUGAGUGGCGAACGGGUGAGUAACACGUGAGUAACCUGCCCCCUACUUCGGGAUAAGCCUGGGAAACUGGGUCUAAUACCGGAUAUGACCACGGGACGCAUGUUCUGUGGUGGAAAGUUUUUCGGUGGGGCGAAAUGGGUCUCGCGGCCAUAUCAGCUUGAUGGUGAGGUAAUGGCCUACCAUGGCGACGACGGGUAACCGACCUGAGAGGGCGACCGGCCACACUGGGACUGAGACACGGCCCAGACUCCUACGGGAGGCAGCAGUGGGGAAUAUUGCACAAUGGGGGAAACCCUGAUGCAGCGACGCAGCGUGCGGGAUGACGGCCUUCGGGUUGUAAACCGCUUUCAGCAGGGAAGAAGCCUUUCGGGGUGACGGUACCUGCAGAAGAAGUACCGGCUAACUACGUGCCAGCAGCCGCGGUAAUACGUAGGGUACGAGCGUUGUCCGGAAUUAUUGGGCGUAAAGAGCUCGUAGGUGGUUGGUCACGUCUGCUGUGGAAACGCAACGCUUAACGUUGCGCGUGCAGUGGGUACGGGCUGACUAGAGUGCAGUAGGGGAGUCUGGAAUUCCUGGUGUAGCGGUGAAAUGCGCAGAUAUCAGGAGGAACACCGGUGGCGAAGGCGGGACUCUGGGCUGUGACUGACACUGAGGAGCGAAAGCAUGGGGAGCGAACAGGAUUAGAUACCCUGGUAGUCCAUGCCGUAAACGUUGGGCACUAGGUGUGGGGGGCAUUCCACGUUCUCCGCGCCGUAGCUAACGCAUUAAGUGCCCCGCCUGGGGAGUACGGUCGCAAGGCUAAAACUCAAAGGAAUUGACGGGGGCCCGCACAAGCGGCGGAGCAUGCGGAUUAAUUCGAUGCAACGCGAAGAACCUUACCAAGGCUUGACAUACGCCAGGACACGCCUGGAGACAGGUGCUCCCUUUGGGGUUGGUGUACAGGUGGUGCAUGGUUGUCGUCAGCUCGUGUCGUGAGAUGUUGGGUUAAGUCCCGCAACGAGCGCAACCCUCGUUCUAUGUUGCCAGCACGUGAAUGGUGGGAACUCAUAGGAGACUGCCGGGGUCAACUCGGAGGAAGGUGGGGAUGACGUCAAAUCAUCAUGCCCGUUUAUGUCUUGGGCUUCACGCAUGCUACAAUGGCCGGUACAGAGAGAGGCGAGCCCGUGAGGGUAAGCGAAUCCCUUAAAGGCCGCGCUCCCAGUUCGGAUCGUAGUCUGCAAUUCGACUACGUGAAGUCGGAGUCGCUAGUAAUCGCAGAUCAGCAACGCUGCGGUGAAUACGUUCCCGGGCCUUGUACACACCGCCCGUCAAGUCACGAAAGUCGGUAACACCCGAAGCCCAUGGCCCAACCACCUCGUGUGGGGGGAGUGGU
RNAcentral lists this ribosomal RNA (1415 nucleotides) under uncultured Brevibacterium sp. RNAcentral describes it as "bacterial SSU rRNA". It matches the Rfam family "Bacterial small subunit ribosomal RNA". The record is from RNAcentral. Lineage: Bacteria; Bacillati; Actinomycetota; Actinomycetes; Micrococcales; Brevibacteriaceae.